UACGAAGGGGGCUAGCGUUGUUCGGAGUUACUGGGCGUAAAGGGCGCGCAGGCGGCCCUCCAAGUCAGGCGUGAAAGCCCCGGGCUCAACCCGGGAAUAGCGCUUGAGACUGGGGGGCUUGAGUUCGGGAGAGGAGAGUGGAAUUCCCAGUGUAGAGGUGAAAUUCGUAGAUAUUGGGAAGAACACCGGUGGCGAAGGCGGCUCUCUGGACCGACACUGACGCUGAGGCGCGAAAGCGUGGGGAGCAAACAGG
Molecule: ribosomal RNA, 253 nt
Filed under: uncultured bacterium
Lineage: Bacteria
Description: partial 16S ribosomal RNA
Rfam family: Bacterial small subunit ribosomal RNA
Source: RNAcentral